UGUGUCACACAGGAUUUGUUUUUCACAUCAUGCUCAUUAAGUUAAAUAAACACUACGAGGACUAAAACCACAGUGCUGGUUUCACAUGGAAAAAAACAUGGAACUAGGAGUACUCUAGUAAGCUCCCAGAGUAAUAAACCAACUAAGAACUGUUUGAUAAUAAAAACGUACAGUGGUCCUGACGGGCACCUCCGGCGACAGCCCCUGCAUCUUGAUUCUCCUUGCAACUUAGUUCCAUUGAACUAAUCAGGACUAAACUGGGCUAUGCUCACUGGAUGAGAACAUCAGCUGAGCGCUCUCACUUAAUGAGCAUGCUCCUG
This is a non-coding RNA of Pelobates cultripes (western spadefoot toad), 320 nucleotides long. The record is from the annotation of a GenBank genome assembly. NCBI's taxonomy places the organism in Eukaryota, Metazoa, Chordata, Amphibia, Anura, Pelobatidae.